CCUGCUCCUAGAGGGGUUGCAGAUGUGGCUGCUGUGUCACAUGUGUCAUAGGUGGCAAACAGGAAAGAGGCUAUGUCUAUGUUCAGUGUGCUAACAGGCAAACAUGUGAAUGAUUAGUAGCCUCACACU
Mastomys coucha (southern multimammate mouse) is the source of this 129-nucleotide small nucleolar RNA. RefSeq annotates it as small nucleolar RNA SNORA17. NCBI's taxonomy places the organism in Eukaryota, Metazoa, Chordata, Mammalia, Rodentia, Muridae. The transcript has a single exon. The record is from RefSeq and is a predicted model, not a curated record.